AGAACCAUGGGAAAACUGGAAAGCUUUUCUUUUCUUUUGUUAGAAGUUUGGUACAAGUGAUCUUGAAGACCUCUGAAGAAUAAGGAUCGUGUCUAUGAAGGACUUGGGAAGAAAAAAGGUUGGAAAAGGAAGGUAAAGAGGGGGCGCCUGGAGUUGAACCAGGGACCUCUUGAUCUGCAGUCAAAUGCUCUGCCACUGAGCUACACCCCCUGCUGCAGCACCUGGCCAAGGAGCACUAAAAACACGCACAGAGACCACUUAUGUCUGCUGUUACAGUUCCUAUAGAUCAGCUUUCUUUGAUUCCUAAUUCACAUGAUAAGCAAUUACAGACGGUGAGAAUUGCACUGUGCAUUUGCAUUAACAACAAAAAAAGCAAUACUGAUGCAAAUAUUCA
Molecule: long non-coding RNA, 394 nt
Organism: Tympanuchus pallidicinctus (lesser prairie-chicken)
Lineage: Eukaryota; Metazoa; Chordata; Aves; Galliformes; Phasianidae
Exons: 2
Source: RefSeq, a predicted model, not a curated record